ACCGCCAGCAUUAAGCAACAGUUAAGUCAAGGCUGCUUCAAGAACUCAAGACACAUAAGAAGAAAAGUAACUGCACUGAAUUCCAAAGACUGGGAUGGACCUCUUAAUGUCCAGUGUCUUUUGUCCUAAGAUUUGGUGCAAUAAGU
Molecule: small nucleolar RNA, 146 nt
Organism: Arvicanthis niloticus (Nile rat)
Lineage: Eukaryota; Metazoa; Chordata; Mammalia; Rodentia; Muridae
Product: small nucleolar RNA SNORA81
Source: RefSeq, a predicted model, not a curated record